GCCGACAAAAUGUUCUGUUCGUCUUAAGUUUCUUUGGCUGUAGGGAACUGGCGGUGUCGUGUAGUAUUAGAUGCUUGCUUUCCUCUGUUCUUUCUCCAAAGUCGGAGAAAAUGAAAUCUAAAAAGUUUGAGAUUGUUAACUUAAAUGUGUGAUCAAUUUGGAUAAAAAUUUGUGCUAAGUUCAUUGUGAUGUUCAGUGGCCUACACAGAUCUCUCCUCCUAAUAUAAAAUCGUGAAAAUAUGCACUAGCUUCCUUCUAUUCAAGUCUAGAGCUAGGUGAAGCGAUGUCAUAUUCCGCUACUUUCUCAUAAUGAUUUCUCAUUCUUUGAAUGCUCAAGUCGCUUCAAAUAUACAUUGUUGUUAGCAUAUUAUUUCUCAACUGUGUGGGCUGCUUAUAUGUUAGUGUUUUGGAAUGUUUUUUGUGACUCACUGUUAGCUGCAAAUUAGUGCAAAUCAGUAAUGAGUUUGUAUGUUAGUCUAUGUUGAUGUUUGUGUUAAUUUCCUUUGAAGGUUUGAUGUUUCUCCUUGGUCCCAAGCUUAAUUUUCUCUGUUUAAAUCUAAUGUGAAAGUAACAUUUUAGUCGUGAAGUUUGAAAUCAUAUUCUGUGGGUGAUUUUGACUUCCAUUGGCUUAUAUUACACUAUUUUUUCACAUUAAGAACAAAUAAAAUUAGUUAGUUCGAGUUGUCGUUAUGUCCUAUGUACGGUUUUCCUUCUACCUCCAGUUUCUCUUUUAGCUUGGUUGUCAUGUUGUUGCUCUUGUUUGUUUUUUCUUCUGAUCGUUAUGAAUCUAAUGUGGGGUUAGUCUUAUAUGUCGUUCUUAUUAUUCUUUCACCAUAGGCUGAAAAAAUGAGGCAAAAUAUCAAUAUUUCGAAUUUCAUUUAGCGAUUUAUACUUACUAUCUUAAAUCUGCAACUAUUGUUUCAAUCAUUUUGACGUCUCUUUUUCCACCUUUCCUUUGUUUUACAGUGGAUUUUGCCAUUUGGGAAGCCUAUGGUCAUAUUUGUGUUUGAUUGGUUGCUAGCUGCUGUUUAGAAUAUAAUCUAUUGACAUGAUGCAAUAUUUUAUUCUCCUUCACCUGAUAGUUCUCUGUUAACAAUUCACUUUGUCUUGAAUUUCUUGCAUUUGGCUUCAUUUCAAAGAGUGAUAAAUGAUGGCAUGUUUAAAUUAUUUGAUUCACUGAUUUUGUUUCUAUUUUGUUCUCUAUUUUUCCUUGUUUUAGGUUCAUUCACAGAUUGUUCAAUCAAAUCUCUUCUCAACUUUCCCUAUCUAAAAUUUUGGUAGUGUUUCUAUGGUUUGUUUGAAGUUCAGUUUUCUCUCGUUUUCUCCCUGUUAUCAUCCCUUUUAUUGUUUCUCCUCUUCUUUAUAUCUAAUGUUAAGCUGAUUGUAGUCUUAGUAGUUGUGCGUUGAGCAUCUAAUCUAGUUUUGUCAAAUUGAAGCAUGAUCGUCCUGUCAUUAAUUGAUUUACUGAUAUGGUUCUGUGUUUCAACUGUCUUCAGAUUCUUCUUGAAAUUUUGUAACUAUGUACCCUACGUUCAACUUGUAUAGUAUUUUUUUUUGUCAAAAAUGGAUUUGUCUCACAACUUGAGUCAUCUUCUGUCCCCUUUUCAUAUCCCAGCUUUGGUUCUUUGGUUUUACCCAGCAUUCCACCAUUGUUUCCUGCAUGCUCUUUGUGUUAAGUAUAUGAAUCAAGGUAUAUAGUUAUUUACACAUUUUUCUUUUGCAUCUGUGUUACAUGAUAUUAUGAGUUUGUUAUUUGAAUGAAUU
Molecule: unclassified non-coding RNA, 1764 nt
Filed under: Hevea brasiliensis (rubber tree)
Lineage: Eukaryota; Viridiplantae; Streptophyta; Magnoliopsida; Malpighiales; Euphorbiaceae
Source: RNAcentral